This 253-nucleotide ribosomal RNA is filed under the name uncultured bacterium. Its description in RNAcentral is "partial 16S ribosomal RNA". It matches the Rfam family "Bacterial small subunit ribosomal RNA", at positions 524 to 776 of the family's 1533-position model. The record is from RNAcentral.
UACGGGGGGGGCAAGCGUUGUUCGGAAUUACUGGGCGUAAAGGGUUCGUAGGUGGCCUACUAAGUCAGACGUGAAAUCCCUCAGCUUAACUGGGGAACUGCGUCUGAUACUGGGGGGCUUGAGUGCAGGAGAGGAACGCGGAAUUCCAGGUGUAGCGGUGAAAUGCGUAGAUAUCUGGAGGAACACCGGUGGCGAAGGCGGCAUUCUGGACCGAAACUGACGCUGAGGCGCGAAAGCCAGGGGAGCAAACGGG